GUCGGUGACGAUUGUUGGCGGGGUCGGUCGGUCGAUCAUCUGGAGGAGCGCUCAAACGGGACCGUUGCAGGUGGAGAGAAAUCUUGUGGUCGCGAUCGACGCGUUGGAAUUAGGAUUAUCACUAGUUUUGUUGGCUCCGGAAGAUGACACUGCUGAAUCAUGUUCUCACUGGAAUGCCGUCAACUAAGCGGAUCGCUGUCAUCGAGAAUCCGUCGUUUAGUAAGAUGGAGUCACCUUCUUCAGGACAAGGUGGACAAGUCUGAUCAUAUCAUCAUUGAGACUACCGCUAAGCGAAACUCUUGAUCACUAUUUUGCUAGCCUUUCAAUCGAAGGACUCAAAACCGCCGAACCUUUCCCGUGUGUGUGGUCUGACAUUCAGCAUGCAGUCUUGGAGUUUGCAGAUUGAAACAUCUGUUUUCUGCAUAAUUUUCCCAUGUGUAAAGUAACAACUAAUUCUGAUUAAAAGCUGUUGUUGCUGAGCCCCAACCUCUAACAUAUUGAACAGCGAAGCGCAUAAAAAAUUUCGUUUCCUUCCUUUGCCGAAGCAGGACCAAAGAAGUGCUCGGUGAUGUUCUUCGUCCUGCUACAUAUCUUGUUUUAACGGUGGAAUGGUGAAUAAUGUGAGAAAAGAAAGCUUUAUAAUGUUCGUGUUCAGGGCUUGCAAAUUUCGCCUCAAUCAUUUAAACGUUUUACUUUGACGGUAAUCUUAAGAAUCCAUAAUCAAUAACAGGUAUCCUAGGUGGAUUGGGUUUUAGAGUUUCUUGCUAAGUUGAUUGUGGAGUUCUGAUUUAAGGUUAAGUUUGGUUGGAGAUUGUUUCAGUAACUGCAAUAUUGAUAUCCUAGGACGAUUCCAUUUUGAAUUGAGCUUUGUGCAUACUUGUUACCUACUUGUUCUUCCCUGAGUCGUGUAUUUGGUAACAGAUCUAUCUUGCGAAAGUAGCUGAUGUGGAGGUAAUGAUGUGUCAGAUAAUGGCUGGCUCAAUUGCGCAUGGCGAGGUUGGCGAAGGUGGACUUGGACCAAAUUAUAAGAGUUGGUGGGGGGUUUGAUCUGGAAAGAGUGGAAGACCACGGAAUGCAUGGCACGGGAAGUUCUGGACUUGAGUACAAUGAGGCAU
Physcomitrium patens is the source of this 1115-nucleotide non-coding RNA. The record is from RefSeq and is a predicted model, not a curated record. NCBI's taxonomy places the organism in Eukaryota, Viridiplantae, Streptophyta, Bryopsida, Funariales, Funariaceae.